This is a long non-coding RNA of Anolis carolinensis (green anole), 1363 nucleotides long. RefSeq lists it as uncharacterized. The record is from RefSeq and is a predicted model, not a curated record. NCBI's taxonomy places the organism in Eukaryota, Metazoa, Chordata, Lepidosauria, Squamata, Anolidae. The transcript is spliced from 3 exons.
UCUGCUCCAGCUGUCCCUGUUGUUGCCAGUUAAAGUUGCAGCCGCUGUUAAAGGAGCUAGCUAAGCCUCCCUGGCCAAGGUUACUUGUCAAUGUCAUCAUCAUUGCUCCUGCUGAUAAAUUUAGCCUUGACUUGCUUAUAAAUUAAUAUAAGCUGCAGCUGUAUGAUGGAGUAUUUCUUGGAGGCUGCUCUUCCAGGGGGUAAGAAGAGGAAGACGUGCCCUUUUCUUAGCACAUGCUGUCCUUGUGAAAACUGCUACUCCCAGCUGCUACUAGACGCUCGCCAAGAAGGCUGGAGUUACUGAACCAAUCUCCUCCUUGCAACCCAGCUCCCCGCUGCCUGGGCCUGAAAACGGCUCUGACAGCAACUGCUUAAAGCCCAGGGAAGGAAGGAAGGCUCCAACACUGCCAUUCUCACCCAUUCCCUUUGCCCAAUAUUGGAUCCUUCCUUUCUUGCAGGCCCAAAUGGGGCUCUAGCAGCAACCUCCUCAAGAGCAUUAUAAUUAAUGUUACAAAAUACAAAUAAUGCAAAGUGCAUUUCCUUCCAAAAUACUUUUUGUAGGAAUAGGAGGCCAAUAGAAAAGUUAUUUAUAAAAAUUAGAUUUAUGAUCAUAUUUUGAGAUAUCAUAGCACAACUGCUAAAGAAGGAAGCAUCCAAUGCUUAGCAAAGGGAGGGAGCAGGAAUGGUGACGUUGCAUCCUUCCUUCCUUACCUGCAUUUAAGGCAAGGAAGGAAGCCUUGUUCACAAGCUGGAUUGCCAUGAGGAAGAGACAGCCAGAGAAAGCAGCAUUGAACAUUUGGAAACACGAUUUAGGCACUGAAGGAAAAGAAGCAGGCACAUCGACCAAGGGAAUGUCAAGAUGGCAAAUGUUAAGAGUUCUAGAUGGACAUUAGCAACACAAAGAAAAAAAGUAGUGGUAAUCUAACUCCAGCAAGAGAGGCACGUGGAAGUGGAGGCCAGGAGUCCCAUAGCUUUCAUCAUUAAAAGAGGGAGCUUUGGCAGGGGCCUCCUUUCUUACUCCAGCAUCGCCCUGAUGAUGAGAGGCUCUGCCUGCCAGAAUGUCCCCUCACAUGAGCAACGAAGGAAGCGCCAGGAGUUCUGCUCUCCUUUGCGUCUUGAAUUCCAGAAAUUCUGCCGGGUUAAAAUCAGAACGAGUCUAUGGCAUCUGAAUGAAGGGUUAUGCGCUGUGUUUCAAAGGCCUGUGAGGAUUCGGCAAGGCUUUUGCAAGAAGUGAACCCUCUAUAGUCGGUCUCUGCUGUAUUUCACACCCCUUGCUUUUUAUGCACCUCCAGAAAAGUGUUAGUGGUACUCAAAGUGGGAUAUUGGGUUUGGCUGACAAUAAAAUAAAGUAACUCACAGAACAA